Molecule: unclassified non-coding RNA, 150 nt
Filed under: soil metagenome
Description: partial internal transcribed spacer 1
Source: RNAcentral
CAAGAAGAGACCCUAACCGGUCCUCUCAACCCUGCCCAUCGUACCUUUUUUGUUGUUCCCUCGGCGGUGCUCGCGGGCCCGCCGGCGGGAAGACCAAACAAACCCUUUGCAAACAAGCAUAUCGAAUCUCCGAUCAAACAUGAAUUGUCA